RNAcentral lists this long non-coding RNA (2199 nucleotides) under Ficedula albicollis (Collared flycatcher). RNAcentral's name for it is "lncRNA (ENSFALG00000028994.1)". Lineage: Eukaryota; Metazoa; Chordata; Aves; Passeriformes; Muscicapidae. The record is from RNAcentral.
GGGGGGGGGGGGGGGGGGGGGGGGGGGGGGGGGGGGGGGGGGGGGGGGGGGGGGGGGGGGGGGGGGGGGGGGGGGGGGGGGGGGGGGGCAGCCAGCCCGCCUACCCCGCCUACGGGGCACAGCCGGCGCCGGCCGCGCCCGCCAGGUACCGCCGCCUCCGCCUCCUGCCCCUCCUCCUGCUCCUCCUCCUGCUCCUGCGGCGCCUUUCCCUCCUCCUGCUCUGCCUCUUCUUCCUCCUCAUCGUCCUCCUCAUCAUUCUCCUCCUCCAUCUUUUCCUUCUCCUCCUUUUCCUUCUCCUUCCUCCUCCUCAUCCUUCUCCUCCAUCCACUCCUCAUCAUUCUCCUCCUCCAUCUUUUCUUUCUCCUUUUCCUUCUCUUCUUCCUCCUCCUCAUCCUUCUCAUCAUUCUCUUUCUCCUCCUUUUCCUUCUCUUCUUCCUCCUCCUCAUCCUUCUCAUCAUUCUCUUUCUCCUCCUUUUCCUUCUCUUCUUCCUCCUCCUCAUCCUUCUCAUCAUUCUCUUUCUCCUCCUUUUCCUUCUCUUCUUCCUCCUCCUCAUCCUUCUCAUCAUUCUCUUUCUCCUCCUUUUCCUUCUCUUCUUCCUCCUCCUCAUCCUUCUCAUCAUUCUCUUUCUCCUCCUUUUCCUUCUCUUCUUCCUCCUCCUCAUCCUCAUCAGUCUCCUCCUCCAUCUUUUCUUUCUCCUCCCUUUUCCUUCUCUUCUUCCUCCUCCUCAUCCUUCUCAUCAUUCUCUUUCUCCUCCUUUUCCUUCUCUUCUUCCUCCUCCUCAUCCUCCUCAUCAUUCUCCUCCUCCAUCUUUUCCUUCUCCUUCCUCCUCCUCAUCCUGGGGGGGGGGGGGGGGGGGGGGGGGGGGGGGGGGGGGGGGGGGGGGGGGGGGGGGGGGGGGGGGGGGGGGGGGGGGGGGGGGGGGGGGGGGGGGGGGGGGGGGGGGGCCUUUUCCUUCUCCUUCCUCCGGGGGGGGGGGGGGGGGGGGGGGGGGGGGGGGGGGGGGGGGGGGGGGGGGGGGGGGGGGGGGGGGGGGGGGGGGGGGGGGGGGGGGGGGGGGGGGGGGGGGGGGGGGGGGGGGGGGGGGGGGGGGGGGGGGGGGGGGUUCUCCUCCUCCAUCUUGUCUUUCUCCUCCUUUUCCUUCUCUUCUUCCUCCUCUUCAUCCUUCUCUUCCUCCUCCUCAUUCUCCUUUUUUUCUUCCUCCUCUUGUUCCUCCUACUCCUCCUCAUCCUUCUCUUCUUUUUCCGUCUCCCGUUACUCCUUCCUCCUUUUCCUCCUCCUUCUCUUCUGUAUUUUCCUUUUUCCUUCUCUUCCUCCUCCUCCGUCUCUUCUUCCUCCUCCUUUUCUUUCUCUUCUUCUUCUUUCUUCUCAUCCUUCUCCACCCCCUCCUCAUCAUCCUCCUCCAUACCUUCAUUUUCCUUCUUCCUCCUCCUCCUUCUCUGUUUCUUCUUCCUCCUGCUUUUGUUUCUCUUCUUCCUCCUCCUCAUCCUUCUCCUCCACCCCCUCCUCAUCAUCCUCCUCCAUCUCCUUUUCUUCUUCUUCCUCCUCCUUCUUCUCAUCCUUCUCCUCCACCCUCUCCUCUUCCUCUCCUCGUUCUCCUUUUUUCUUCCUCCUCCUCAUCAUCCUCCUCCUCCCUCUCCGCUUCUCGUCUUCUUCCUUUUCCUUCUUCCUCCUCCUCCCUUUCAUUCUUCUCCUUCUCCUGCCUCUUCCUCCUUCUCCAUCUCUUCUUCCUCCUCCUCCUUUUUUUCUUCCUCCUCCUCGUCCUUUUUUUCUUUCUCCUUCUCCCCUUCCUCUUGUUCCUCCUACUCCUCCUCCUCCUCCUCCUUCUCUUCUUUCUCCUCCUCCUCCUCUUGUUCCUCCUUCUCCUUCUUCAUCUCUCGUUCCUCCUCCAUCUCCUCCUCCUCCUCUUUGUCCCCAGCCCCUCCUCCCCGCCUGUUGCUGUGCUCCAGCACGGUGAGUCAGCGCUGUUCCUGCAGGACAGGGAGCCAAAUCAGCCUCUCAGGGCACAGCAGAGUGUGAGUCCUGUCUGCUCCCCAGUCACGGGGUCAGGCAGGAUGCUGGGGUGGAUGCACAGGCUGCAAAACAUUUCCUCUAAAUCUCACCCCUCUGGGCGCUGCCCGUCAUCUAUUGAAUCAAAUUGUUUGCUCAGAGGAUAUGAAAAAUUCAGAAUACAUAAUGGAAACUUGUUUAGAAGUGAGUGA